RNAcentral lists this ribosomal RNA (400 nucleotides) under uncultured bacterium. RNAcentral describes it as "bacterial SSU rRNA". It matches the Rfam family "Bacterial small subunit ribosomal RNA", at positions 355 to 747 of the family's 1533-position model. The record is from RNAcentral.
UGGGGAAUCUUCCGCAAUGGACGAAAGUCUGACGGAGCAACGCCGCGUGAGUGAAGAAGGUUUUCGGAUCGUAAAGCUCUGUUGUUUGAGACGAAUGUGCCUGUUUCAAAUAGGGAUAGGUAAUGACGGUAUUAAACGAGAAAGCCACGGCUAACUACGUGCCAGCAGCCGCGGUAAUACGUAGGUGGCAAGCGUUGUCCGGAAUUAUUGGGCGUAAAGGGAGCGCAGGUGGGAAUGUAAGUCGGUCUUAAAAGUGCGGGGCUCAACCCCGUGAGGGGAUCGAAACUACAUUUCUUGAGUGCAGGAGAGGAAAGUGGAAUUCCUAGUGUAGCGGUGAAAUGCGUAGAUAUUAGGAGGAACACCAGUGGCGAAGGCGACUUUCUGGACUGUAACUGACACU